UGUGAUAGUACUCAAUACCUUCGGGUAGCGAGAUAGUGAUCCUAAACCAGCUCGCGAGAAAAACCUCUAAGGUUAGGCUAAUACAACCCGUACCGUAAACCGACACAGGUAGUCGAGAUGAGUAUUCUAAGGCGCUCGGGUGAGCCACGGAGAAGGAACUAGGCAAAUUAACGCUGUAACUUCGGGAUAAAGCGUACCACAGCGAUGUGGUCUCAGUAAAAUGGUUCAACCAACUGUUUAGCAAAAACACAGGGCCCUGCAAAAUCGAAAGAUGACGUAUAGAGCCUGAUACCUGCCCGGUGCUGGAAGGUUAAGGAAGCUUGUUCGCAGCAAUGCAAAGCUUGUGACCGAAGCCCCAGUAAACGGCGGCCGUAACAAUAACGGUCCUAAGGUAGCGAAAUUCCUUGUCGGGUAAGUUCCGACCUGCACGAAUGGUCUAAUGAGUUGAACACUGUCUCCUCCGUGAGCCCGGUGAAAUUGUAGUAUCGGUGAAGAUGCCGGUUACCCGCCACGGGACGAAAAGACCCCGUGAACCUUCACUACAACUUUACAUUGAUUUUGAGUAACAGAUGUGUAGCAUAGUUGGGAGACUUUGAAGCAGUGGCGCCAGCCAUUGUGGAGUCACCGUUGAAAUACCAACCUUCUGUUGCUUAGAGUCUAAUCCAGAGAUGGAGACAUUGUAUGGUGGGUAGUUUGACUGGGGUGGUCGCCUCCUAAAGCGUAACGGAGGCUCGCAAAGGUACCCUCAGUACGGUUGGUAAUCGUACGUAGAGCGCAUUAGUAAAAGGGUGCUUGACUGUGAGGCUGACCAGCCGAGCAGGUGCGAAAGCAGGCUAAAGUGAUCCGGUGGUUCUGUAUGGAAGGGCCAUCGCUCAAAGGAUAAAAGGUACUCCGGGAUAACAGGCUGAUCUCCCCCAAGAGCUCAUAUCGACGGGGAGGUUUGGCACCUCGAUGUCGGUUCGUCACAUCCUGGGGCUGGAGAAGGUCCCAAGGGUUGGGCUGUUCGCCCAUUAAAGUGGCACGUGAACUGGGUUCAGAACGUCGCAAGACAGUUCGGUCUCUAUCUGUGGUGGGCGUUAGUAAAUUGAGAGGACAUGCUCUUAGUACGAGAGGACCGGAGCGUAUGUGCCGCUGGUGUAUCGGUUGUGCCGCCAGGUGCAGUGCCGAGUAGCUACGCACAGUCAGGAUAAGCGCUGAAAGCAUCUAAGCGCGAAACCUUCCUCAAGAUGAGUUUACUUUUAAGGGCCGUCAAAGACUAUGACGUUGAUAGGCUACAGGUGUAAAGGUGGUAACAUCAAAGCCGAGUAGUACUAAUUGCCCGUAAGCUUUAACGA
This 1334-nucleotide ribosomal RNA is filed under the name metagenome. RNAcentral describes it as "bacterial LSU rRNA". It matches the Rfam family "Bacterial large subunit ribosomal RNA", at positions 1559 to 2925 of the family's 2925-position model. The record is from RNAcentral.